UGGGUUAGUCGGGUCCUAAGCUGAGGCCGACAGGCGUAGGCGAUGGAUAACAGGUUGAUAUUCCUGUACCACCUAUAAUCGUUUUAAUCGAUGGGGGGACGCAGUAGGAUAGGCGAAGCGUGCGAUUGGAUUGCACGUCUAAGCAGUAAGGCUGAGUAUUAGGCAAAUCCGGUACUCGUUAAGGCUGAGCUGUGAUGGGGAGAAGACAUUGUGUCUUCGAGUCGUUGAUUUCACACUGCCGAGAAAAGCCUCUAGAUAGAAAAUAGGUGCCCGUACCGCAAACCGACACAGGUAGUCAAGAUGAGAAUUCUAAGGUGAGCGAGCGAACUCUCGUUAAGGAACUCGGCAAAAUGACCCCGUAACUUCGGGAGAAGGGGUGCUCUUUAGGGUUAACGCCCAGAAGAGCCGCAGUGAAUAGGCCCAAGCGACUGUUUAUCAAAAACACAGGUCUCUGCUAAACCGUAAGGUGAUGUAUAGGGGCUGACGCCUGCCCGGUGCUGGAAGGUUAAGAGGAGUGGUUAGCUUCUGCGAAGCUACGAAUCGAAGCCCCAGUAAACGGCGGCCGUAACUAUAACGGUCCUAAGGUAGCGAAAUUCCUUGUCGGGUAAGUUCCGACCCGCACGAAAGGCGUAACGAUUUGGGCACUGUCUCAACGAGAGACUCGGUGAAAUCAUAGUACCUGUGAAGAUGCAGGUUACCCGCGACAGGACGGAAAGACCCCGUGGAGCUUUACUGUAGCCUGAUAUUGAAAUUCGGCACAGCUUGUACAGGAUAGGUAGGAGCCUUUGAAACGUGAGCGCUAGCUUACGUGGAGGCGCUGGUGGGAUACUACCCUAGCUGUGUUGGCUUUCUAACCCGCACCACUUAUCGUGGUGGGAGGCAGUGUCAGGCGGGCAGUUUGACUGGGGCGGUCGCCUCCUAAAAGGUAACGGAGGCGCUCAAAGGUUCCCUCAGAAUGGUUGGAAAUCAUUCAUAGAGUGUAAAGGCAUAAGGGAGCUUGACUGCGAGACCUACAAGUCGAGCAGGGUCGAAAGACGGACUUAGUGAUCCGGUGGUUCCGCAUGGAAGGGCCAUCGCUCAACGGAUAAAAGCUACCCCGGGGAUAACAGGCUUAUCUCCCCCAAGAGUUCACAUCGACGGGGAGGUUUGGCACCUCGAUGUCGGCUCAUCGCAUCCUGGGGCUGUAGUCGGUCCCAAGGGUUGGGCUGUUCGCCCAUUAAAGCGGUACGCGAGCUGGGUUCAGAACGUCGUGAGACAGUUCGGUCCCUAUCCGUCGUGGGCGUAGGAAAUUUGAGAGGAGCUGUCCUUAGUACGAGAGGACCGGGAUGGACAUACCUCUGGUGUACCAGUUGUCGUGCCAACGGCAUAGCUGGGUAGCUAUGUGUGGACGGGAUAAGUGCUGAAAGCAUCUAAGCAUGAAGCCCCCCUCAAGAUGAGAUUUCCCAACUUCGGUUAUAAGAUCCCUCAAAGAUGAUGAGGUUAAUAGGUUCGAGGUGGAAGCAUGGUGACAUGUGGAGCUGACGAAUACUAAUCGAUCGAAGACUUAAUCAA
RNAcentral lists this ribosomal RNA (1551 nucleotides) under Staphylococcus aureus. Its description in RNAcentral is "bacterial LSU rRNA". It matches the Rfam family "Bacterial large subunit ribosomal RNA", at positions 1376 to 2925 of the family's 2925-position model. Lineage: Bacteria; Bacillati; Bacillota; Bacilli; Caryophanales; Staphylococcaceae. The record is from RNAcentral.